This 301-nucleotide ribosomal RNA is filed under the name uncultured bacterium. RNAcentral's name for it is "partial 16S ribosomal RNA". It matches the Rfam family "Bacterial small subunit ribosomal RNA", at positions 509 to 807 of the family's 1533-position model. The record is from RNAcentral.
CAGCCGCCGCGGGAACACGAAGGGUGCAAGCGUUACUCGGAAUUACUGGGCGUAAAGCGUGCGUAGGUGGUGGUUUAAGUCCGUUGUGAAAGCCCUGGGCUCAACCUGGGAAUUGCAGUGGAUACUGGAUCACUAGAGUGUGGUAGAGGAUAGUGGAAUUUCCGGUGUAGCAGUGAAAUGCGUAGAGAUCGGAAGGAACAUCUGUGGCGAAGGCGACUAUCUGGGCCAACACUGACACUGAGGCACGAAAGCGUGGGGAGCAAACAGGAUUAGAUACCCCGGUAGUCCCUGUCUCUUAUAC